CAGCAGCCGCGGGAAAACGGAGGGGGCUAGCGUUGUUCGGAAUUACUGGGCGUAAAGCGCACGUAGGCGGCUUUGUAAGUCAGAGGUGAAAGCCCGGGGCUCAACCCCGGAAUUGCCUUUGAGACUGCAUCGCUUGAAUCCAGGAGAGGUGAGUGGAAUUCCGAGUGUAGAGGUGAAAUUCGUAGAUAUUCGGAAGAACACCAGUGGCGAAGGCGGCUCACUGGACUGGUAUUGACGCUGAGGUGCGAAAGCGUGGGGAGCAAACAGGAUUAGAUACCCCUGUAGUCCCUGUCUCUUAUAC
Molecule: ribosomal RNA, 301 nt
Filed under: uncultured bacterium
Lineage: Bacteria
Description: partial 16S ribosomal RNA
Rfam family: Bacterial small subunit ribosomal RNA
Source: RNAcentral